CCCUUAGAGUUUGAUCCUGGCUCAGAGCGAACGCUGGCGGCAGGCCUAACACAUGCAAGUCGAGCGGGCACCGCAAGGUGUCAGCGGCAGACGGGAGAGUAACACGUGGGAACGUGCCCUUCGGUUCGGAAUAACUCGGGGAAACCCGAGCUAAUACCGAAUACGCCCUUACGGGGAAAGAUUUAUCGCCGAUGGAGCGGCCCGCGUCUGAUUAGCUAGUUGGUGAGGUAAUGGCUCACCAAGGCGACGAUCAGUAGCUGGUCUGAGAGGAUGAUCAGCCUCACUGGGACUGAGACACGGCCCAGACUCCUACGGGAGGCAGCAGUGGGGAAUAUUGGACAAUGGGCGCAAGCCUGAUCCAGCCAUGCCGCGUGGAUGAUGAAGGCCUUAGGGUUGUAAAGUCCUUUUAACGGGGAAGAUAAUGACGGUACCCGUAGAAUAAGCCCCGGCUAACUUCGUGCCAGCAGCCGCGGUAAUACGAAGGGGGCUAGCGUUGCUCGGAAUUACUGGGCGUAAAGCGCACGUAGGCGGCUUUUUAAGUCGGGGGUGAAAUCCUGGAGCUCAACUCCAGAACUGCCUUCGAUACUGAAGAGCUUGAGUCCGGGAGAGGUGAGUGGAACUGCGAGUGUAGAGGUGAAAUUCGUAGAUAUUCGCAAGAACACCAGUGGCGAAAGCGGCUCACUGGCCCGGUACUGACGCUGAGUGCGAAAGCGUGGGGAGCAA
This 723-nucleotide ribosomal RNA is filed under the name uncultured bacterium. RNAcentral describes it as "bacterial SSU rRNA". It matches the Rfam family "Bacterial small subunit ribosomal RNA", at positions 1 to 771 of the family's 1533-position model. The record is from RNAcentral.